GAUGAACGCUGGCUGCGUGCCUAAUACAUGCAAGUCGAGGGAACAGAUCAGGGGCUUUCUCCUCUCACGUUAGCGGCCGGCGGGUGGGUAACACGUGGGUAACCUACCUAUAACACUGUGAUGACUUCGGCAAACCGGAGCUAAUACCUGCUAAUAUAUUUAACCGCAUGGUUCAAUACUGAAAUACAGUUUUUCUGUCGCUUAUAGAUGGGUUCGGGCCGCAUUGGAUAGUUGGUAAGGUACAGGCUUACCAAGCCAACGGGGCGUAGCCGACCUGUGAGGGUGGUCAGGCACACUAGAACGGAGACACGGCACAGACUAAUACGGGAGGCAGCAGAAGGGAAUGUAACGUAAGUGGCGAAAGCCUGACGGGGAAACGCCGCGUGAGGGAUAAAGGUCUUCGGAUAGGAAUUCUCAGUUAUUAGGGAAGAACAAAUGUGUAAGUAACUUGGCACGUAUUGACGGUACCGAAUCAGAAAGCCACGGCUAACUACGUG
Molecule: ribosomal RNA, 497 nt
Filed under: uncultured bacterium
Lineage: Bacteria
Description: partial 16S ribosomal RNA
Rfam family: Bacterial small subunit ribosomal RNA
Source: RNAcentral